Molecule: long non-coding RNA, 771 nt
Filed under: Felis catus (domestic cat)
Lineage: Eukaryota; Metazoa; Chordata; Mammalia; Carnivora; Felidae
Description: lncRNA (ENSFCAG00000046963.1)
Source: RNAcentral
CGGCCCGGAAGAGAGGAGGGGCGAUGACCCGGGAAAGGGUUGGCGCCGCGCGGGACCGGCUCGCGCGCCUUAGGGGGCGGGGGCGGAGGAGCCGGGGGGGGCGGGGCUUCGCCUAGAGCCGGACCCUGAGACCCGAGCCGCGCGACGCGCUGACAGACCCUCUGGUCCGACGGCGAGGCUCGCAGCACCUCAUGCUUCCAUCCUGCGUUGAGAUCACGGCAGGACCACAUAAUGACUUUCAGGAGACCUAGGGAUUUUUGCCUUGAUGGGCCCCUUUCUCCACUAAAAAAAGGAAGAAAAAUUACAAUUGCACUUAUAAAAGAGGCUUUUCUAUUGCUCGGCCAAAACUCUUUCUCUAAAGAGCUAGACUCGACAAUAGGACCACCUGGAUACAGCCAAGGAGAAGAAGAGCCACCAGUACUAUGGCUGAGCAGAAAAAUAUCCCAGAGAGGUUGUCAUAGGAACUGUACCAGAGGAGCAGCUAUACACAUGAUAGAAUGUACUAUCCAAAGAAGAGAGGAAGGAACUGAUCUUGAAUCUACUCUUACCAUCAGUUUUAGGGAACAAAUCUUUCAUGAAUCUCCUCAUGGAAAUUGUCCUCAGUGACAGCAGGGGUAGGUGAGAUACUACAAGGCUAUGGGGCUGAUGAUAUAUGUACCUCAAAGGAUUUUUGUAGGAGAUUAAAAUAGAUAAAAUAUGUUAAAUAUCUACUAUAUGUAGUCCUUGAAAAACAGUAAUAAAUAACAGUAAUCUUUACUGUCUUAUGUAAUC